This 468-nucleotide ribosomal RNA is filed under the name uncultured bacterium. RNAcentral describes it as "partial 16S ribosomal RNA". It matches the Rfam family "Bacterial small subunit ribosomal RNA", at positions 28 to 507 of the family's 1533-position model. The record is from RNAcentral.
GACGAACGCUGGCGGCGUGCUUAACACAUGCAAGUCGAACGGAAAGGCCCUGCUUUUGUGGGGUGCUCGAGUGGCGAACGGGUGAGUAACACGUGAGUAACCUGCCCUUGACUUUGGGAUAACUUCAGGAAACUGGGGCUAAUACCGGAUAGGAGCUCCUGCUGCAUGGUGGGGGUUGGAAAGUUUCGGCGGUUGGGGAUGGACUCGCGGCUUAUCAGCUUGUUGGUGGGGUAGUGGCUUACCAGGUCUUUGACGGGUAGCCGGCCUGAGAGGGUGACCGGCCACAUUGCUACUGAGAUACGGAGCAGACUCCUACGGGAGGCAGCAGUGGGGAAUAUUACACAAUGGGCGGAAGCGUGAUGCAGAAACGCUGCGUGCGGGAUGACGGCCUUCGGGGUGUAAACCGCUUUCGCCUGUGACGAAGCGGGAGUGACGGUAAUGGGUAAAGAAGCACCGGCUAACUACGUG